GACGUAGGGAGCAAGCGUUGUCCGGAUUUACUGGGCGUAAAGAGUUCGUAGGCGGUCUAUUAAGUGUGAAGUGAAAUCCCCAGCGCUCAACGCGGGAACUGCUUCGCAUACUGGUAGACUUGAGGAUUGGAGAGGUAACUGGAAUUCCUGGUGUAGCGGUGACAUGCAUUGAUAUCAGGAGGAACACCAAAGGCGAAGGCAGGUUACUGGCCAAUAUCUGACGCUGAGGAACGAAAGCGUGGGUAGCAAACAGA
This 254-nucleotide ribosomal RNA is filed under the name uncultured bacterium. RNAcentral's name for it is "partial 16S ribosomal RNA". It matches the Rfam family "Bacterial small subunit ribosomal RNA", at positions 524 to 776 of the family's 1533-position model. The record is from RNAcentral.